This 81-nucleotide transfer RNA is filed under the name Curculionoidea sp. 7 KM-2017. RNAcentral describes it as "tRNA-Val". The record is from RNAcentral. Lineage: Eukaryota; Metazoa; Arthropoda; Insecta; Coleoptera.
AGGAUAUCAAGAUUUACUCGRAUAUUCUUGUCUGACCAGCAAGAAUAUUGGGGGGAUAUCAAGAUUUACUCGGAUAUUCUU